RNAcentral lists this microRNA (21 nucleotides) under Anolis carolinensis (green anole). RNAcentral's name for it is "aca-miR-5425". Lineage: Eukaryota; Metazoa; Chordata; Lepidosauria; Squamata; Anolidae. The record is from miRBase by way of RNAcentral.
UUGGCAGAAGGGAUGACUCUG